Molecule: ribosomal RNA, 253 nt
Filed under: uncultured bacterium
Lineage: Bacteria
Description: partial 16S ribosomal RNA
Rfam family: Bacterial small subunit ribosomal RNA
Source: RNAcentral
UACGUAGGGUGCGAGCGUUAAUCGGAAUUACUGGGCGUAAAGCGUGCGCAGGCGGUUUUGUAAGCCAGAUGUGAAAUCCCCGGGCUCAACCUGGGAAUGGCAUUUGGGACUGCAAGGCUUGAGUGCGGCAGAGGAGACUGGAAUUCCUGGUGUAGCAGUGAAAUGCGUAGAUAUCAGGAGGAAUACCGAUGGCGAAGGCAGGUCUCUGGGCUGACACUGACGCUCAUGCACGAAAGCGUGGGGAGCAAGACGG